CCCUUAGAUGUCCUGGGCCGCACGCGCGUUACACUGAUGCAUUCAACGAGCUUAUAACCUUGGCCGAGAGGCCAGGGCAAUCUUGUUAACGUGCAUCGUGAUGGGGAUAGAUUAUUGAAAUUAUUAAUCUUGAACGAGGAAUUCCUAGUAAACGCAGAUCAUCAAUCUGCAUUGAUUACGUCCCUGCCCUUUGUACACACCGCCCGUCGCACCUACCGAUUGGAUGGUCCGGUGAAGCCUCGGGAUUGUGGUUCUUGCCGCUUUAUUGUGGCGUGACCGCGAGAACUUGUCUAAACCUUAUCAUCUAGAGGAAGGUGAAGUCGUAACA
Molecule: ribosomal RNA, 328 nt
Filed under: uncultured eukaryote
Lineage: Eukaryota
Description: partial 18S ribosomal RNA
Rfam family: Eukaryotic small subunit ribosomal RNA
Source: RNAcentral